CCUACGGGUGGCAGCAGUGGGGAAUAUUGGGCAAUGGGCGCAAGCCUGACCCAGCAAUGCCGCGUGAAGGAAGAAGGCUUUCGGGUUGUAAACUUCUUUUACAGGGGAAGAGCAGAAGACGGUACCCUGCAACCAAGCCACGGCUAACUACGUGCCAGCAGCCUCGGUAAUACGGAGGUGGCAAGCGUUGUCCGGAUUUACUGGGUGUAAAGGGCGUGUAUGCGGGAAGGCAAGUCAGAUGUGAAAUCUGUGGGCUCAACCUCCAAAUUGCAUUUGAAACUGUUUUUCUUGAGUACUGGAGAGGAAGACGGAAUGCCUUGUGUAGCGGUGAAAUGCGUAGAUAUAAGGAGGAACACCAGUGGCGAAGGCGGUCUGCUGGACAGCAACUGACGGUGAGGCGCGAAAGCGUGGGGAGCAAACAGGAUUAGAUACCCUUGUAGUC
This 442-nucleotide ribosomal RNA is filed under the name uncultured bacterium. Its description in RNAcentral is "partial 16S ribosomal RNA". It matches the Rfam family "Bacterial small subunit ribosomal RNA", at positions 338 to 795 of the family's 1533-position model. The record is from RNAcentral.